CUGGAACUGUGUCUGCAAAGACACAACCCCAGAUACCCUUUGUGAACUUAUUUUAUAUCGUUGCCUCGGCGCUGAGCUGGGGGCUUCUUUCUAAGAAGCUCUCCCAUCCUCUCUCGGGAAGAUGGAGCAAGCCCGCCGGCGGCCCUCUUAAACUCUUGUUUUUAUUACGUAUCUCUUCUGAGUUAUUCAAAACAAAAUGAAUCA
Molecule: unclassified non-coding RNA, 204 nt
Filed under: uncultured Coniella
Lineage: Eukaryota; Fungi; Ascomycota; Sordariomycetes; Diaporthales; Schizoparmaceae
Description: sequence contains ITS1
Source: RNAcentral